GCGNNCAUGGUCUAGUGGUUAUGACAGCAGGUUCCCAACCUGCUAACCCGGGUUCAACUCCCGGUGCUCGCACCA
This 75-nucleotide transfer RNA is filed under the name Methanobacteriota archaeon. RNAcentral's name for it is "Euryarchaeota archaeon tRNA-Gly". It matches the Rfam family "tRNA". Rfam says of the family: Transfer RNA (tRNA) molecules are approximately 80 nucleotides in length. The record is from RNAcentral. Lineage: Archaea; Methanobacteriati; Methanobacteriota.